RNAcentral lists this ribosomal RNA (508 nucleotides) under uncultured bacterium. RNAcentral describes it as "partial 16S ribosomal RNA". It matches the Rfam family "Bacterial small subunit ribosomal RNA", at positions 28 to 523 of the family's 1533-position model. The record is from RNAcentral.
GAUGAACGCUAGCUACAGGCUUAACACAUGCAAGUCGAGGGGAAACGACAUCGAAAGCUUGCUUUUGAUGGGCGUCGACCGGCGCACGGGUGAGUAACGCGUAUCCAACCUGCCCACCACCUGGGGAUAACCUUGCGAAAGUAAGACUAAUACCCAAUGAUAUCUCUAGAAGACAUCUGAAAGAGAUUAAAGAGUUAUCGGUGAUGGAUCGGGAUGCGUCUGAUUAGCUUGUUGGCGGGGUAACGGCCCACCAAGGCUACGAUCAGUAGGGGUGCUGAGAGGAAGGUCCCCCACAUUGGAACUGAGACACGGUCCAACCUCCUACGGGAGGCAGCAGUGAGGAAUAUUGGUCAAUGGGCGAGAGCCUGAACCAGCCAAGUAGCGUGCAGGAUGAUGGCCCUAUGGGUUGUAAACUGCUUUUAUAAGGGAAUAAAGUGAGUCUCGUGAGACUUUUUGCAUGUACCUUAUGAAUAAGGACCGGCUAAUUCCGUGCCAGCCGCCGCCGUAA